RNAcentral lists this ribosomal RNA (189 nucleotides) under Salmonella enterica subsp. enterica serovar Thompson. RNAcentral describes it as "partial 16S ribosomal RNA". It matches the Rfam family "Bacterial small subunit ribosomal RNA", at positions 1 to 183 of the family's 1533-position model. Lineage: Bacteria; Pseudomonadati; Pseudomonadota; Gammaproteobacteria; Enterobacterales; Enterobacteriaceae. The record is from RNAcentral. RNAcentral also lists the same sequence under 12 other names.
AAAUUGAAGAGUUUGAUCAUGGCUCAGAUUGAACGCUGGCGGCAGGCCUAACACAUGCAAGUCGAACGGUAACAGGAAGCAGCUUGCUGCUUCGCUGACGAGUGGCGGACGGGUGAGUAAUGUCUGGGAAACUGCCUGAUGGAGGGGGAUAACUACUGGAAACGGUGGCUAAUACCGCAUAACGUCGCA